Pelobates cultripes (western spadefoot toad) is the source of this 517-nucleotide non-coding RNA. NCBI's taxonomy places the organism in Eukaryota, Metazoa, Chordata, Amphibia, Anura, Pelobatidae. The record is from the annotation of a GenBank genome assembly.
GCCACGUCAUCACCGGAAGGAGAGAGGGGGAUGAUGGGAGAGGUAGUUAUCAGAGAGGAGGGACGAUGGGAGAGGUAGUUAUCAGGGAGGGGGACGAUGGGAGAGGUAGUUAUCAGAGAGGGGGUGGAUGGGAGAGGUAGUUAUCAGGGAGGGGGAUGAUGGGAGAGGUAGUUAUCAUGGAGGGGGAGGAUGGGAGAGGUAGUUAUCAGAGAGGGGGAUGAUGGUGUUGUAGAAUUAUAGAAUUCUUGAAAUUAUCUAAGCUAAUGCUUUGGCAGGAAGAAAUGUGCUGAAUAAUAAAAUGUGUAUUUACUAAAAGAACCUUGAAACUAACAAUACUAACUACUCAAAAUGGCUGCCAAAGCACCCCUCCCAUCGAGUGAACACCUCGUGCUAACAAGAUGGCGCCUAUAUCUUGUGUCCACUCCCGUGUCAAGGAUGACAUCACCUCUUGAUAGGAGGGUAUCUAACUAACCACUUAACACCUGAACCAAUUAAUAAUGUUUAUUUGUUGUUAUCU